AGAGAGAGACAUGCGCGCAUAUCAAUAAGCGGAGGAAAAGAAACUAACAAGGAUUCCCCUAGUAACGGCGAGUGAAGCGGGAAGAGCUCAAAUUUGAAAUCUUAAAGGGUUUCCCUUUACGAAUUGUAGUUUAAAGAAGUGUUUUCUGUUGAGGUUUUGGUAAAAGUUCUUUGGAAUAGGACAUCAUAGAGGGUGAGAAUCCCGUAUUUGACCUUUACUUUCAACUUUGUGAUACACUUUCAAAGAGUCGGAUUGUUUGGGAAUGCAGUCCAAAAUGGGUGGUAAAUUUCAUCUAAAGCUAAAUAUUGGCGAGAGACCGAUAGCGAACAAGUACCGUGAGGGAAAGAUGAAAAGAACUUUGAAAAGAGAGUUAAACAGUACGUGAAAUUGUCAAAAGGGAAGCGUUUGACACCAGUGUUGUUUUUCUGAAAAUCAAUUAAAGAACUGUUUAUGCUAAGCUGUUUAGACUUUAUCAGCUAUCUGUUUAGUUUUGAGCUUUUCUUUAAUGCACUUUUCAGUUAACAAGUCAACAUCAAUUUCUUUUGCUGUAAAAAAGCUUGAGGAAGGUGGCUUGAGAUUCGUCUUAAGUGUUUAGUAGCCUCUUGCCUAUGCAGUCGGAGAGAUUGAGGUCUGCAGCGUAGAUCCUUCGGGGCUAAAUGCAUUCGUGCUAAGUUAUAGCAUUUUAUAGACAACUUGUUGACUAUGAUUUGUCUUGUAGCUUACUCGCUUAUGUUAUUUUACCUACGCUUAGGAUGUUGACGCAUGAGAUAUACGC
Molecule: ribosomal RNA, 775 nt
Filed under: uncultured Neocallimastigales
Lineage: Eukaryota; Fungi; Neocallimastigomycota; Neocallimastigomycetes; Neocallimastigales
Description: partial large subunit ribosomal RNA
Rfam family: Eukaryotic large subunit ribosomal RNA
Source: RNAcentral